This 400-nucleotide unclassified non-coding RNA is filed under the name uncultured Anaerolineaceae bacterium. RNAcentral's name for it is "contains 16S-23S intergenic spacer region". Lineage: Bacteria; Bacillati; Chloroflexota; Anaerolineae; Anaerolineales; Anaerolineaceae. The record is from RNAcentral.
GACCGUCAAUUCAUUUGAGUUUUAACCUUGCGGCCGUAGUCCCCAGGCGGUAGACUUACCGCGUUCGCUCCGGCACCGAUGGCUUUUACCCCACCAACACCAAGUCUACAUCGUUUACAGCUAGGACUACCGGGGUGUCUAAUCCCGUUCGCUCCCCUAGCUUUCGCUCCUCAGCGUCAGGCACGGCCCAGGAGGCCGCCUUCGCCUCUGGUGUUCCUCCCGAUAUCUACGCAUUUCACCACUACACCGGGAAUUCCACCUCCCUCUGCCGCCCUCUAGUUGGGUAGUUUUGUACGUCCUCUCCCAGUUGAGCCGGAAGCUUUCACAUCCAACUUGCCCAACCGCCUGCUCGCUCUUUACGCCCAGUGAAUUCGGAUAACGCUCGGUUCCUACGUUUUAC